GGUUCGAUACGUCGGAUGUGAAAAUCAGGGGCUCAACCCCUGACCUGCAUCCGAUACGGUCGAGCUGGAGUUUGGUAGGGGAGACUGGAAUUCCUGGUGUAGCGGUGGAAUGCGCAGAUAUCAGGAGGAACACCGAUGGCGAAGGCAGGUCUCUGGGCCAAUACUGACACUGAGGAGCGAAAGCGUGGGGAGCGAACAGGAUUAGAUACCCUGGUAGUCCACGCCGUAAACGGUGGGCGCUAGUUGUGCGAACCUUCCACGGUUUGUGCGACGCAGCUAACGCAUUAAGCGCCCCGCCUGGGGAGUACGAUCGCAAGAUUAAAACUCAAAGGAAUUGACGGGGCCCCGCACAAGCAGCGGAGCAUGCGGCUUAAUUCGACGCAACGCGAAGAACCUUACCAAGGCUUGACAUAUACAGGAAUACGGCAGAGAUGUCGUAGCCGCAAGGUCUGUAUACAGGUGGUGCAUGGUUGUCGUCAGCUCGUGUCGUGAGAUGUUGGGUUAAGUCCCGCAACGAGCGCAACCCUCGUUCUGUGUUGCCAGCAUUUAGUUGGGGACUCACAGGAGACUGCCGGGGUUAACUCGGAGGAAGGUGGGGAUGACGUCAAAUCAUCAUGCCCCUUAUGUCUUGGGCUGCACGCAUGCUACAAUGGCUGGUACAAACGGCUGCAAUACCGCAAGGUGGAGCGAAUCCGAGAAAGCCAGUCUCAGUUCGGAUUGGGGUCUGCAACUCGACCCCAUGAAGUCGGAGUUGCUAGUAA
This 761-nucleotide ribosomal RNA is filed under the name uncultured bacterium. RNAcentral describes it as "bacterial SSU rRNA". It matches the Rfam family "Bacterial small subunit ribosomal RNA", at positions 577 to 1341 of the family's 1533-position model. The record is from RNAcentral.